GUUGCUCAAGUGUGCUACCUUCCGUGGUGAGCAGCAGGCAACGAGAACCUAUCUCGGCUAAAGCAUAU
Molecule: ribozyme, 68 nt
Filed under: unclassified sequences
Description: HDV ribozyme from F. prausnitzii
Rfam family: HDV ribozyme from F. prausnitzii
Source: RNAcentral